This is a long non-coding RNA of Dermochelys coriacea (leatherback sea turtle), 296 nucleotides long. RefSeq lists it as uncharacterized. The record is from RefSeq and is a predicted model, not a curated record. NCBI's taxonomy places the organism in Eukaryota, Metazoa, Chordata, Testudines, Dermochelyidae. The transcript is spliced from 3 exons.
CAGCUGGGAUGGGUCAUUCAGUCCUUUGUUCAGAGCUUCAGUUUAUAGCAAGGUUCCUCCAGAAGUAAGAAGCAUGACUGAAGACAAAAUGGAGGGGUUUCCAGGGCCUUUUAUACUCUUUUUCUUGUGGGCGGAAACCCUUUGAUUCUCCUGUGCAAAAUCACAGCAACAAGAUGGAGUUUGGAGUCACAUGGGCAAGUCACAUGUCCAUGCAUGACUCAGUUCUUUACACGCCGAUGCCAUUGUUUGCCUGUUAGUUUGAAAGUUCCCAGGAAAGCUCAAUAGUGGAUUUGCAU